Long non-coding RNA from Leptinotarsa decemlineata (Colorado potato beetle), 609 nucleotides. Lineage: Eukaryota; Metazoa; Arthropoda; Insecta; Coleoptera; Chrysomelidae. The record is from RefSeq and is a predicted model, not a curated record.
AUAUAAAUAUAGGAUGCACUUUCUGCCCGACAUAAGAAAAUACAAAAGCAAAUUGAUAACAUUCGCGGUAAACACAUCGGAAUUGUCGGAUACCGAGUUUCAUCUCUUCCAUCUAAUAGUGCAAGUCAAGUUCAAAGCCUCUUUAGAAGGAGAGUGAAUAAAGUUCGCAAGGACUUCCUCGUUUGUUUUUUACAACUUUCAUUUUUUGCGUGGAAAUGCGUGUCGCUGUGAUUGGAGCCGGGGCUGCCGGUUUGGCUUCUGCCAGACAUUGCAAAAGCAAAGGGUUUUCCUGUGAUGUUUUUGAAUUACGUCCUGAGCUUGGAGGUACUUGGGUGUAUACGGAUGAUGUUGGAACUGACGAAUAUGGAUUUCCUGUAUAUUCGGCUAUGUACAAGGGGUUGAGGAUAUCCAAGUUUCAUGAAACAGUCAAGCAGCACUUCGGACUCCCCCUCACCCCAGUUGAAUCUUCAAACGAUUAAAAUGAAAGUGAUGAAGGUGAUAUAUUGUUUUAGUUUCGCAAGUUUGUUUUCAAAUUGAUACCUUUUUCAUUACUGAUAUUGGGAGUGAUUUCAAGGAACAAGACAUAUUUAAAUAAAUAGUGAUAUUCAG